CCUCCCAAAGUGCUGGGAUUACAGGCAUGAGCCACCGCGCCCGGCCUACUGCACUGUUUUACGUGCUACAGAUGUAUCAAGCAAUUUAACCCCAAUUCCUACUGUGCUUAAAAUAAAUAAGACGUGCCUAUAGCUUCAACUCUGGAGAGAUAACAGUGGGGUUGAUGUAGAAAUCUUGCCUAAAUGCUCCCUACCAUGAAUGACCACAUGUUCCAGCAUGGUAUGCCAAGGAAGUGAAGUCUGAAAGCCCUGCUUGGAGAAAACAUGUAGCUUCUACUUUCAAUCUUGGAAUCCAGUCUCCACAAAAAGAAGUCCAGGCUAGCCUGCGGAGACAGAGAACAUGUGGAGAGAAAGAUCAUAGUGAAUGAACUACCAUAUGGAGAGUGAAGCCACAUGGAAGAGAACCACAUUGCCCCAGUUUGACAGUAACAGCAAAGCUCCAUUUAUUGAGAAUGAAGCAAUCUUUGAUCUCUUAGCCCUAAUCAAGUCACCCCAGCUGACAUCACAUGGAGUAGAGACAAGCCAUCCCCACUGAGCCCCAAAUAUCCAACCAACAAAACUCACUGAAUGGAUCCCCAGUGUCUAACUGUGUAAAACAGCUGAGACGUCACUGCUUUCCAAUCUCUUGAAGGACAAGUGCUCAUCUUGGCUCACCUUGGAACCCACUUCAGAACCCAGGGGAAGUGUUAUGCAGGAAUUAUAAUAUGGGUCUUCUGUCAGAGCUCUACAGCUCCUAAACCAAGGUAUCACAUAUCUUCAAGACUGCUGAAUACUGGAAGCAAAAAAAAACCCCACGAAUUUUGCAGGUAUUUAUGAGAAU
This 820-nucleotide long non-coding RNA is filed under the name Homo sapiens (human). RNAcentral's name for it is "HSALNT0114257". The record is from RNAcentral. Lineage: Eukaryota; Metazoa; Chordata; Mammalia; Primates; Hominidae.